This 496-nucleotide ribosomal RNA is filed under the name uncultured bacterium. RNAcentral's name for it is "bacterial SSU rRNA". It matches the Rfam family "Bacterial small subunit ribosomal RNA", at positions 28 to 521 of the family's 1533-position model. The record is from RNAcentral.
GACGAACGCUGGCGGCGUGCCUAAUGCAUGCAAGUCGAGCGGGCUACGAUCUUCGGAUUGUAGCUUAGCGGCGAACGGGUGAGUAAUAUAUCGGAACGUGCCCAGUCGUGGGGGAUAACGUAGCGAAAGCUACGCUAAUACCGCAUACGAUCUACGGAUGAAAGCGGGGGAUCGCAAGACCUUACGUUAUAGGAGCGGCCGAUAUCUGAUUAGCUAGUUGGUGGGGUAAAGGCCUACCAAGGCGACGAUCAGUAGCUGGUCUGAGAGGACGACCAGCCACACUGGGACUGAGACACGGCCCAGACUCCUACGGGAGGCAGCAGUGGGGAAUUUUGGACAAUGGGCGAAAGCCUGAUCCAGCCAUGCCGCGUGCAGGAAGAAGGCCUUCGGUUGUAACUGCUUAGUCUUAGGAAAAGGGUAGGCGAGGUUAAGUAACCUCGUGCUUGUAUGGUACUGGAAGAAUAAGACCGGCUAACUACGUGCCAGCAGCCGCGGU